GAUGAACGCUGGCGGCGUGCCUAAUACAUGCCAGUCGAGCGAACAGACGAGGAGCUUGCUCCUCUGACGUUAGCGGCGGACGGGUGAGUAACACGUGGAUAACCUACCUAUAAGACUGGGAUAACUUCGGGAAACCGGAGCUAAUACCGGAUAAUAUAUUGAACCGCAUGGUUCAAUAGUGAAAGACGGUUUUGCUGUCACUUAUAGAUGGAUCCGCGCCGCAUUAGCUAGUUGGUAAGGUAACGGCUUACCAAGGCAACGAUGCGUAGCCGACCUGAGAGGGUGAUCGGCCACACUGGAACUGAGACACGGUCCAGACUCCUACGGGAGGCAGCAGUAGGGAAUCUUCCGCAAUGGGCGAAAGCCUGACGGAGCAACGCCGCGUGAGUGAUGAAGGUCUUCAGAUCGUAAAACUCUGUUAUUAGGGAAGAACAAAUGUGUAAGUAACUAUGCACGUCUUGACGGUACCUAAUCAGAAAGCCACGGCUAACUACGUG
RNAcentral lists this ribosomal RNA (497 nucleotides) under uncultured bacterium. RNAcentral's name for it is "partial 16S ribosomal RNA". It matches the Rfam family "Bacterial small subunit ribosomal RNA", at positions 28 to 507 of the family's 1533-position model. The record is from RNAcentral.